CAUGCUGAUUAUUAUUGAUGUCAAGGUCGCCAUUGUUUGUAAACAUUGCUUUUAAACAGCAUGCUCGGUGAAAACAAGUAAUUUUACAGGGGGGUACAAACUUUCAGCAAUAGCAAAAAAUCUACAAGGCCAAGCACCUAUUUCUUUGUGAUAUUUUGCAUGCAUAGGGAGUUGCUAAAGUAGUGACAGAGUUUUUGUAGACCGUAUAUUUGCAGGUUGUGUAGUUUGGGAUCAGAUUUAUCAGACAUAUUGCUUGUAGGACAUUGACGGCAGAAACUUGAAAUUUAGUGUGGAGUGCUACCUUAAGCUGUAUGUGUGAAAUAUGGCCAUCCGAAGUGUUUCGAGUGAUGCAAAAUCAUUGUAUGGAGGUAAAUUUUUGCUGGAAAUCACUUU
Long non-coding RNA from Ruditapes philippinarum (Manila clam), 393 nucleotides. RefSeq lists it as uncharacterized. NCBI's taxonomy places the organism in Eukaryota, Metazoa, Mollusca, Bivalvia, Venerida, Veneridae. The record is from RefSeq and is a predicted model, not a curated record. The transcript has 3 exons.